Non-coding RNA from Macaca mulatta (Rhesus monkey), 440 nucleotides. The record is from RefSeq and is a predicted model, not a curated record. NCBI's taxonomy places the organism in Eukaryota, Metazoa, Chordata, Mammalia, Primates, Cercopithecidae.
CUGGCCAUCCUCCCAAAGGAUCCCUAUGGUGCCAGACAGGAAUGGCCUGCUUGGGGACGCAGCAAGCUCCCAGGGCCUUUCCCACUGCUUCCUCUACCCCUGCAUUUCACUCAGCUCUCCAAAUUGACUCAGCUCCAGGUGCUCAGAGCAAAUGGACAAGGGAAAUGCAGGAGAAACUAUGAUGCAGCGGGACUCGCUCAUGUAUGGACAGCACUUUAAAGUAUUCACAAAAGCUUUGCAGACGUGAUCCCAUCUGAACCCCACAAAAGCCCUGGGAGGUUUACUAGAACUAAGACUCUGUGCUUCAUAUAAAGAAGCUUUUAUUCUACUACAGGCAUUAUUUUCAUAGAUCUUCUCUAAAAUGGGGAUUGUAAUUGUUUCUACCUCAUAAAGUUGCUACAAAGACUAAACAGAAUAAAGAAUUUAUGUAUGUAAAAGCA